Long non-coding RNA from Pseudoliparis swirei, 446 nucleotides. RefSeq lists it as uncharacterized. The record is from RefSeq and is a predicted model, not a curated record. The transcript has 3 exons. Lineage: Eukaryota; Metazoa; Chordata; Actinopteri; Perciformes; Liparidae.
CUGUGGGAGGCAGACAGGAAGCAGCUAAAGCGAGAGAGGAGAUGUUGAAUGAGUGGAAAAAAGAAAAGAAAAAAGCAAUUUAUUGAAAGAACAGCAGCGGCUCGUUCCCACGGAAACAAUCGAUGCCGUGAAGACGGCGACUUGAUGGAGCAGGAACCGCCCUGGAUGGAAAUGUUUUGGGCUUUCAUUUAUUAUCACGGGACGAGAGGAGAGUCCAGAGGGAGCUCCCUCCUCUUCAGAGGAAGACGAGGGAGCUCCCUCCUCUUCAGAGGAAGACGAGGACGUCUCACCGGCUGUGAUAUUAAUAAUAAUAACCUGACGUCUGGCCUCCACGUCGAGGAGCGAAGAAAACAGGAAACACCGUCAGGUUCCCCAGCAGCGUGUCCAGCUUGAAGCCGGUGAAGUUGGCGGUGGUGGGGCCCGUCCCGUUGAAGGCUACAGGCAGC